AAGUCGUAACAAGGUAACCGUAGGUGAACCUGCGGUUGGAUCAUUAACAAAAUCCAACAGGUGAGUGUUACUGAUUUCACGAUCAGCUACACGAAACCUAUUAACACCUUUGUGAACAUUUAAAUGUCUUUGGCAGUUGUAUUGGAGUAAUUCAAUCUCUGCCAAUGUAUUAACCACAUUAUAUUUUUUGAACUGAUUUCCUUUAUCUUGAUCUUCUUUUGAAGUGAAAGCCAAAUGAAAAACAACUUUUGACAACGGAUCUCUUGGUUCUC
This 272-nucleotide unclassified non-coding RNA is filed under the name fungal sp. Its description in RNAcentral is "partial internal transcribed spacer region". The stretch from base 1 to 46 matches the Rfam family "Eukaryotic small subunit ribosomal RNA", at positions 1786 to 1831 of the family's 1831-position model. Lineage: Eukaryota; Fungi. The record is from RNAcentral.